This 486-nucleotide ribosomal RNA is filed under the name uncultured bacterium. RNAcentral describes it as "partial 16S ribosomal RNA". It matches the Rfam family "Bacterial small subunit ribosomal RNA", at positions 28 to 507 of the family's 1533-position model. The record is from RNAcentral.
GAUGAACGCUGGCGGCGUGCCUAAUACAUGCAAGUCGAACGCUGGAGAUCUAGCUUGCUAGAUCGAAGGAGUGGCGAACGGGUGAGUAAUACAUAAGCAACCUACCCACGAAGACUGGGAUAAUCUCUGGAAACGGGGACUAAUACCGGAUAGGUAAUCGGAAGGCAUCUUCUGGUUAUUAAAGGUUAAAAACACUGGUGGAUGGGCUUAUGGCGCAUUAGUUAGUUGGUGAGGUAACGGCCCACCAAGACGAUGAUGCGUAGCCGGCCUGAGAGGGUGAACGGCCACAUUGGGACUGAGACACGGCCCAGACUCCUACGGGAGGCAGCAGUAGGGAAUUGUCGGCAAUGGGGGCAACCCUGACCGAGCAACGCCGCGUGAGUGAAGACGGCCUUCGGGGUGUAAAGCUCUGUUGUAAGGGAAGAACGGUAGAUAGAGAAUAUCUAAGUGACGGUACCUUACCAGAAAGCCACGGCUAACUACGUG